Molecule: non-coding RNA, 1588 nt
Organism: Sus scrofa (pig)
Lineage: Eukaryota; Metazoa; Chordata; Mammalia; Artiodactyla; Suidae
Source: RefSeq, a predicted model, not a curated record
CUCCCCGGAGGUCGCCGCCAGACCUUAGAGCUGCAUUAUUUCUGUCGCCUGUACUCCCUUCGGUCUCUGCGCUUGAGCUGGUGGUAGCUUCAGCGGGUGAGGAUGAGAGUCUUGUUUUAUUGGAUUCGUGGGAAUAUUAAAAUGGCUAAUAGAACUGAAGAAUUUAGAAAAAGACUUGGCACAGAGCGAGUGGUAUAUAAAUAUUAGUUGCUGCCAUUAUUAGUUUUUAUUUUUAUUUUUUAUAGUUGCUACCAUUAUUAUUAUUUUUACUGUUAUCAUUUCCUCAGUGACUCCUGCUAAGUAGCUAUCAUCUCGACAUUUGUCAUCUGUGGAAACAGACUCGGUGGAGUAGGAUGGCUUUCCCAGGGUCAUGUAAUAAGCAGUAAAAUCAGGUUUGGAAGCCAGUUCAUUCAACUAUGGGGCACUUGAUAUUUCCUCUAUGGUGAGGGAGCUGAAGCCUGGGAAGUUUUAAGCAAAACUUAAGCGGGUUUGCAUUUUUACAAAGUGCAGCCUGGCUGCCUCAAGGAAAUUGAAUUGGGUGGCAGCAAGACUGGAGGUGAAGAGUCCAGAGUGGAGGUGUGUUGGACACUGUUGACUGCCAGAUCAGUCAUGUCUUUCCAUUCUCACGGAAGCCUGGUUUUGUUUAGGAGGCAGAAGGUCCAGUUUCCAGGUAUGAUCCCAAGCCAGUCACAGGCACUGCCAUUUCUUUUUGCCAGUGAUUGGUCCAGGGGUGUGCCUGUGAUCUAGUUUUUUCUAGCCAGUGAGUUGGGGAGGAGCCAUAUUUGGAAAAUUUCCUUCUUCUAAUAAUAGCUAGGGAGGAAGCCUUUUCUGUCCCCUUUCCUCCUUCAUACAAUAUGAGGUUGUGAUGGCUGGAGCUGUGGCAUUUAUGAAGACACCAUGAGGCACAAGCCUGAGGUUGAAAAGCUGACAUCCCAAAGAUGCCAGCGCAGAAAGAGGGCAAGAACUAAGCAGGACCUUGAUAAUGUAGUUGAACAGCUGAAUGAAUCCUGGGCUGCCCAAGACAUGAAAUAAUAACUGUCUUUAUUGCUUAAGCUGCUCUUAAAGGCUUAUCCCAAGGAGAGACAGGACCUGCCUGGCAGUUCUCAGAAGGGGCAGCUGGGAGCUCACAGCAGCCGCCACUCACAGCUGCUGGGGCAGAGGAUGCGGGUAGGGCGCCACAGCACCCACACCAUCACACCCUCAUCGCAGCUCCCCGAGGUGGGGGUGCUCUGAGCAACAGCAAGGUGUCAAGUUCUUAAAAGAAGCCCGCACAGAGGAAGACGGGUCUCCCAUCUUCCCGCCGCCGUCCUCUGACCUGACACACAAGGACACUUGAGGAGGCUCCUCACAGUGGCAGGCAGGACCCUCUAUUUCUUCCCAGCAUCCAGGCCCCUCCUGGAAGAGCUGACCCCUUUGGGCUCCCAAUGGCCCCACGGGGGAAGCCCACUCUGCUCCAGCGCUGCUGGUGACUAGAUGGAAACAUCCUGGGGUUUGAUGUCAGGAAGUACCUUCGGUCCAAACAGAAGACAUGCCCCACCCCUGACCCUAGCUUUGAUCAACAAUAAAUGUGAUAUUUUGGCUUCUAGCA